This is a long non-coding RNA of Cyprinus carpio (common carp), 314 nucleotides long. RefSeq lists it as uncharacterized. NCBI's taxonomy places the organism in Eukaryota, Metazoa, Chordata, Actinopteri, Cypriniformes, Cyprinidae. The record is from RefSeq and is a predicted model, not a curated record.
AUUUGGUGUUGAUGGAGGGGGCAACAUCUUCAAGGCAAAACCUUAGACCUGAUGCAACAUCAUCCAGUGUCAAAAUCACCCUUUAGGAGGCACUUGAAGAUCAGUGCCCAAUAUGCACAGGAACAUUUCCAGUGUCAGAAGUAGACCUGCCAUGCCAGCUUUUGUGGAGACAGGCUCUCCAAGGAAGGUGAUUUUCAGGGGAUUGACUGGAAUUCCUGUUUUUUUAUGUUUACACAACUUCAGACGUGUUAUCUCGUGACAGACUUCAGAUGUCUUUGUGGUGUUUAUCUGUGCUGCUGCAUGACGAAUCACAU